CCUACGGGGGGCAGCAGUGGGGGAUAUUGCACAAUGGGGGAAACCCUGAUGCAGCGACGCCGCGUGGGUGAAGAAGUAUUUCGGUAUGUAAAGCCCUAUCAGCAGGGAAGAAAGAAGACGGUACCUGACUAAGAAGCCCCGGCUAACUACGUGCCAGCAGCCGCGGUAAUACGUAGGGGGCGAGCGUUAUCCGGAUUCACUGGGUGUAAAGGGAGCGUAGACGGCCGUGCAAGCCAGGAGUGAAAGCCCGGGGCCCAACCCCGGGACUGCUCUUGGAACUGUGCGGCUGGAGUGCGGGAGGGGCAGGCGGAAUUCCUGGGGUAGCGGUGAAAUGCGUAGAUAUCAGGAGGAACACCGGCGGCGAAGGCGGCCUGCUGGACCGCGACUGACGUUGAGGCUCGAAAGCGUGGGGAGCGAACAGGAUUAGAUACCCCUGUAGUC
Molecule: ribosomal RNA, 441 nt
Filed under: uncultured bacterium
Lineage: Bacteria
Description: partial 16S ribosomal RNA
Rfam family: Bacterial small subunit ribosomal RNA
Source: RNAcentral